RNAcentral lists this ribosomal RNA (380 nucleotides) under uncultured eukaryote. RNAcentral's name for it is "partial 18S ribosomal RNA". It matches the Rfam family "Eukaryotic small subunit ribosomal RNA", at positions 592 to 976 of the family's 1831-position model. The record is from RNAcentral.
CAAUAGCGUAUAUUAAAGUUGUUGCAGUUAAAAAGCUCGUAGUUGGAUUUGUGGCGUACGGUGUGUUCCGGGCACUUGUUGUCUGAGUAACCUGCUGUUGCCAUCCUUGGGUGGAACCUGUGUGGCAUUAGGUUGUCGUGCAGGGGAUGCCCAUCAUUUACUGUGAAAAAAUUAGAGUGUUCAAAGCAGACUUAUGCCGUUGAAUAUAUUAGCAUGGAAUAAUGAGAUAGGACUUUUUUGCUAUUUUGUUGGUUUGCGCAAAGAGGUAAUGAUUAAUAGGGACAGUUGGGGGUAUUCGUAUUCCAUUGUCAGAGGUGAAAUUCUUGGAUUUUUGGAAGACGAACUACUGCGAAAGCAUUUACCAAGGAUGUUUUCAUUAA